Capsicum annuum is the source of this 491-nucleotide long non-coding RNA. RefSeq lists it as uncharacterized. NCBI's taxonomy places the organism in Eukaryota, Viridiplantae, Streptophyta, Magnoliopsida, Solanales, Solanaceae. The record is from RefSeq and is a predicted model, not a curated record. The transcript has 2 exons.
GAUUGUUCUUAAUAUUCAUAAAUGCAAAAGCCCAAGUACAAUAAGUCGAAGCAGAUGCGGAAUCAAUGAUUUGUACAAAAUACUUUGCUUGAAAUUAUUGAGUCAAGAGUUAUCACAUGAGAACAGCACUGAUAGGCUUGCAACAAAGUCUCAAAAAGAGGAGCUACUAACAGUUCCACCAAAUUUAGCUAGAACUGUAUAGGUCUAAAACAACUUCAUCUACUAAUUCUUGGAGAAUAUGCCUAGCAACUUCAGUGCCACAUUCAUAUUCUUCAAUCUCAAAGUCCGUACAUUUACCCAAAACAUGGAUCAUAUCCCAUUCUAUGAGCUCGUCUGGGAUCAAACCAACAAAUUGUGUCCACUCUUCGACCUCAUCAAUAAUAUCAGCAAUAAAGAUCUCUUUGGUCAUACUUGAUGGUAGUUUGGUACAGGUUCUGAAACCGGAAUCAGAGAUUGGAGAAAAUUUUGAGUCUAGGUACUCUAAUAGAAAA